AGUGAACGCUGGCGGUAGGCCUAACACAUGCAAGUCGAACGGCAGCACAGUAAGAGCUUGCUCUUACGGGUGGCGAGUGGCGGACGGGUGAGGAAUACAUCGGAAUCUACUUUUUCGUGGGGGAUAACGUAGGGAAACUUACGCUAAUACCGCAUACGACCUACGGGCGAAAGCAGGGGAUCUUCGGACCUUGCGCGAUUGAAUGAGCCGAUGUCGGAUUAGCUAGUUGGCGGGGUAAAGGCCCACCAAGGCGACGAUCCGUAGCUGGUCUGAGAGGAUGAUCAGCCACACUGGAACUGAGACACGGUCCAGACUCCUACGGGAGGCAGCAGUGGGGAAUAUUGGACAAUGGGCGCAAGCCUGAUCCAGCCAUACCGCGUGGGUGAAGAAGGCCUUCGGGUUUUAAAGCCCUUUUGUUGGGAAAGAAAAGCAGCAGGUUAAUACCCCGCUGUUCUGACGGUACCCAAAGAAUAAGCACCGGCUAACUUCGUG
This 492-nucleotide ribosomal RNA is filed under the name uncultured bacterium. RNAcentral describes it as "partial 16S ribosomal RNA". It matches the Rfam family "Bacterial small subunit ribosomal RNA", at positions 29 to 507 of the family's 1533-position model. The record is from RNAcentral.